UUGGAGGGCAAGUCUGGUGCCAGCAGCCGCGGUAAUUCCAGCUCCAAUAGCGUAUAUUAAAGUUGUUGCAGUUAAAAAGCUCGUAGUUGAAUUUCGGGAUUAGUACGUUGGUCGUGCCUUCGGUACGUACUGGUGUUACUGAUUCCUACCUUCUGACGAACCAUCAUGUCAUUAAUUUGGUGUGGUGGGGAAUCAGGACUGUUACUUUGAAAAAAUUAGAGUGUUUAAAGCAGGCUCGCGCUUGAAUACAUUAGCAUGGAAUAAUGAAAUAGGACGUUGACCCUAUUUUGUUGGUUUCUAGGAUUGACGUAAUGAUUAAUAGGGAUAGUUGGGGGCAUUAGUAUUCAAUUGUCAGAGGUGAAAUUCUUGGAUUUAUUGAAGACUAACUACUGCGAAGGCAUUUGCCAAGGAUGUUUUCAUUAAUCAAGAACGAAAGUUAGGGGAUCGAAGACGAUCAGAUACCGUCGUAGUCUUAACCAUAAACUAUGCCGACUAGGGAUCGGAUGAUGUUAUUUUUAAUGACUCAUUCGGCGCCUUACGGGAAAC
This 546-nucleotide ribosomal RNA is filed under the name uncultured Glomus. RNAcentral describes it as "SSU rRNA". It matches the Rfam family "Eukaryotic small subunit ribosomal RNA", at positions 548 to 1098 of the family's 1831-position model. The record is from RNAcentral. Lineage: Eukaryota; Fungi; Glomeromycota; Glomeromycetes; Glomerales; Glomeraceae.